CCUACGGGAGGCAGCAGUAGGGAAUAUUGCACAAUGGGGGAAACCCUGAUGCAGCAACGCCGCGUGGGUGAUGAAGGUUUUCGGAUUGUAAAACCCUUUUGUUAGAGAAGAUAAUGCCGGUAUCUAACUAAUCAGCUCCGGCUAACUCCGUGCCAGCAGCCGCGGUAAUACGGCGGGUGGAAGCGUUACUCGGAAUCACUGGGCGUAAAGGGCGCGUAGGCGGGUUAGCAAGUCCGAUGUGAAAGCCUAUGGCUUAACCGUAGGACUGCAUUUGAAACUGUUAGGCUAGAGUGCGGGAGAGGUAAGUGGAAUUCGGGGUGUAGCGGUGAAAUGCGUAGAUAUCAGGAGGAAUACUAGUGGCGAAGGCGACCUGCUGGAACGUAACUGACGCUGAGGCUCGAAAGCGUGGGGAGCAAACAGGAUUAGAUACCCGAGUAGUC
RNAcentral lists this ribosomal RNA (440 nucleotides) under uncultured bacterium. RNAcentral describes it as "partial 16S ribosomal RNA". It matches the Rfam family "Bacterial small subunit ribosomal RNA", at positions 338 to 795 of the family's 1533-position model. The record is from RNAcentral.